CCUUGAAGAUCGGAGUGCUUGCACUCUGUGAAACAAGAUACAGGCUAGCGGCGGACGGGUGAGUAACACGUGGGUAACCUGCCCAAGAGAUCGGGAUAACACCUGGAAACAGAUGCUAAUACCGGAUAACAACAGAUGAUGCCUAUCAACUGUUUAAAAGAUGGUACUGCUAUCACUCUUGGAUGGACCUGCGGUGCAUUAGCUAGUUGGUAGGGUAACGGCCUACCAAGGCGAUGAUGCAUAGCCGAGUUGAGAGACUGAUCGGCCACAUUGGGACUGAGACACGGCCCAAACUCCUACGGGAGGCAGCAGUAGGGAAUCUUCCACAAUGGACGCAAGUCUGAUGGAGCAACGCCGCGUGAGUGAAGAAGGGUUUCGGCUCGUAAAGCUCUGUUGUUGGUGAAGAAGGACAGGGGUAGUAACUGACCUUUGUUUGACGGUAAUCAAUUAGAAAGUCACGGCUAACUACGUGCCAGCAGCCGCGGUAAUACGUAGGUGGCAAGCGUUGUCCGGAUUUAUUGGGCGUAAAGCGAGUGCAGGCGGCUCGAUAAGUCUGAUGUGAAAGCCUUCGGCUCAACCGGAGAAUUGCAUCAGAAACUGUCGAGCUUGAGUACAGAAGAGGAGAGUGGAACUCCAUGUGUAGCGGUGAAAUGCGUAGAUAUAUGGAAGAACACCGGUGGCGAAGGCGGCUCUCUGGUCUGUUACUGACGCUGAGGCUCGAAAGCAUGGGUAGCGA
Molecule: ribosomal RNA, 736 nt
Filed under: uncultured bacterium
Lineage: Bacteria
Description: bacterial SSU rRNA
Rfam family: Bacterial small subunit ribosomal RNA
Source: RNAcentral